Molecule: ribosomal RNA, 215 nt
Filed under: uncultured bacterium
Lineage: Bacteria
Description: partial 16S ribosomal RNA
Rfam family: Bacterial small subunit ribosomal RNA
Source: RNAcentral
UCAGUUCAGAUUGCAGGCUGCAACCCGCCCUGCAUGAAGUCGGAAUUGCUAGUAAUCGCGGAUCAGCAUGCCGCGGUGAAUACGUUCCCGGGCCUUGUACACACCGCCCGUCACACCAUGGGAGUUUGUAACGCCCAAAGUCGGUGGCCUAACCUUUAUGGAGGGAGCCGCCUAAGGCGGGACAGAUGACUGGGGUGAAGUCGUAACAAGGUACC